AUUGAACGCUGGCGGCAGGCCUAACACAUGCAAGUCGAACGGUAACAGAAAGCAGCUUGCUGCUUUGCUGACGAGUGGCGGACGGGUGAGUAAUGUCUGGGAAACUGCCUGAUGGAGGGGGAUAACUACUGGAAACGGUAGCUAAUACCGCAUAACGUCGCAAGACCAAAGAGGGGGACCUUCGGGCCUCUUGCCAUCGGAUGUGCCCAGAUGGGAUUAGCUUGUUGGUGGGGUAACGGCUCACCAAGGCGACGAUCCCUAGCUGGUCUGAGAGGAUGACCAGCCACACUGGAACUGAGACACGGUCCAGACUCCUACGGGAGGCAGCAGUGGGGAAUAUUGCACAAUGGGCGCAAGCCUGAUGCAGCCAUGCCGCGUGUAUGAAGAAGGCCUUCGGGUUGUAAAGUACUUUCAGCGGGGAGGAAGGGAGUAAAGUUAAUACCUUUGCUCAUUGACGUUACCCGCAGAAGAAGCACCAGCUAACUCCGUG
This 490-nucleotide ribosomal RNA is filed under the name uncultured bacterium. Its description in RNAcentral is "partial 16S ribosomal RNA". It matches the Rfam family "Bacterial small subunit ribosomal RNA", at positions 30 to 507 of the family's 1533-position model. The record is from RNAcentral.